UGGAAGAAAGGUUAGCUGUCUUCGAGAA
RNAcentral lists this non-coding RNA (28 nucleotides) under Mus musculus (house mouse). Lineage: Eukaryota; Metazoa; Chordata; Mammalia; Rodentia; Muridae. The record is from RNAcentral.